Molecule: long non-coding RNA, 209 nt
Filed under: Salvia miltiorrhiza (redroot sage)
Lineage: Eukaryota; Viridiplantae; Streptophyta; Magnoliopsida; Lamiales; Lamiaceae
Description: long non-coding RNA (SMIL_LNC011972)
Source: RNAcentral
UUACAUAUGGCUAUGACCAACUUAUAUAAGUAUAUCAUUGCUAUUAAAAAUACAAGUACAUAUCCCUUAAUUAUAUUCAGAAAAUGAAACGUUACCACAGAUAAAAAAAAAGAGCAUUAUCUUAGCAUCCAAAGAAAAAACUUUUUCCCUCGAAAAAUAAAAGAAAACAACUUUUCAUAGCAUCCUAAGAAAAACAACUUUUCCCCUCA